This 255-nucleotide ribosomal RNA is filed under the name uncultured bacterium. RNAcentral's name for it is "partial 16S ribosomal RNA". It matches the Rfam family "Bacterial small subunit ribosomal RNA", at positions 524 to 776 of the family's 1533-position model. The record is from RNAcentral.
UACGGAGGGGGCUAGCGUUGUUCGGAAUUACUGGGCGUAAAGCGCACGUAGGCGGCUUUGUAAGUUAGAGGUGAAAGCCCAGGGCUUAACCCUGGAAUUGCCUUUAAGAUACUGCAUCGCUAGAAUCGUGGAGAGGUGAGUGGAAUUCCGAGUGUAGAGGUGAAAUUCGUAGAUAUCAGGAGGAACACCUGUGGCGAAAGCGGCUCACUGGACCAUAACUGACGCUGAUGCACGAAAGCUAGGGGAGCAAACAGG